This is a long non-coding RNA of Olea europaea var. sylvestris, 1788 nucleotides long. RefSeq lists it as uncharacterized. NCBI's taxonomy places the organism in Eukaryota, Viridiplantae, Streptophyta, Magnoliopsida, Lamiales, Oleaceae. The record is from RefSeq and is a predicted model, not a curated record. The transcript is spliced from 3 exons.
UUUUUUUUUUUUUUUCCUUUUUUUUUUUUUUUUUUUUUUUCCUUUUUUUUUCUUUUUUUGGUUUCAUCUACACACGACCAUAGUUUCCUGUAUAAGGAUUAUUUUAGCAGCAUAGUCAAGUCAUAUCAAUAGCCCUCAUUUUUUUUUCCCUCAUUUGGGGAUUGAUAUAUAGGUUUUGGAUUUUCAAUUUUGGGAAGUUGAUAGUAGAUGUUGAAUUGGAUAGGUGGAACAUCUAAAUUAUAUGGAUAAUUUAUGAUGUUAUCAGAUUUCCAUCAGCUCCUGUAUUUCGGAUUCAGCAAUACUUCUUCAUCACUUUCCUAUUUUAGGUGGUCUGGAUUUUGUAAGUAUAUAUUAAAACAUAAAAUUUACUCGCCAAAUUGUUGUUGAACUAGGAAGCACUUAGAUUUAUGUGAUCCCUGGUAAUGAAUUUUAGUUAUGCGGUCUUACAAUUUCCUAUCUAUUUUUGGGAAAGCAAGUUUUCAGUAAGAUCAAGUUGGAAUAUCAUUCUUUUGCAAGUUUUGGUGUUAGAUUGUGAAUUUAGCUUGAAUUGUUUAAGUUAUUAUCAUUUGCAUUGAAAUGUUGUUUAUCUCUUUAAUUCUUGAGAAUUUCUAUUCGAAUUAUUUCGUUUCAUUUGCUGGGUCUUAUACUGUGGACUCUCUAUGUAUUCAAUCAUUCUAGCACUUUUGAGCGGUCAAGCAUAAAUCUAUAUACUGAGGAUUCUCUUUCUGAAUGCACAACUCCUUUUGUUAACCUAAGAUGGUGAAGUAAUUUUGAUAUAUUCCUCCACAUUCCAUUUUUGGGUGUUAAACGAGUACUCAUCUCUGUUACAAUAAAUUCAAGUAUCUUGAUGUUGCUGGCCAGAAGAAUUCCUAACUUUACAUCUUCAAUGGUGUGGCUUAGUUCUUUGGGUUGUUGGUAUGGUCUAUAUAUUUCAUUCAACUUCAAAACUUUGCAUUUUACUCUAAAAUGUUUAGUAUUCUGCUCGUUCAUAUACUCAACAUAUAUUGCAGGGAAAUGGAAACUCAAUUUAUUGAUCAGUUGACCAUGUGUGGAUGAGUUUCUAAAAUCUGAGAUUGUUAUACACCGCCACAAAAUCUGUCUAUUGUUAUUUUUUAGCAUCUCUAUGAUUAUUUGAAAUAUUAGAGUUUUAUAAAUGAAAGACAUUUGCCUCUUUAGUUCCUUGAGAAUAAAGGGCGUUGGGAGUAGCCAUGGAAUUUAAGGAUUUCACUAGGGAAAUAGUUUGUGUAUAUAACGUUUUCAUCAGUAUAAAGUUUUUGAUGGGCCAACCAGUGCGUCAGAUUAAGAUAUUGCAAUGAAUGAUGUCAGCAGAAGUCCAGCAAAGACCUUAACCAGUGCUAAAGGUCCAAGCUUCACUGAGGGGAUUUCUAAGUCAUCAUAUGCCAAGUAAGCAUCAGAUUUGAAAAGCUCUUCUGUAAAGGUGAAUUUUUUUUUUGCUCAUUGAUAGGGGGUCCAAAUAUGAAAAGAUUUGUAUUCUAUUUAGAUUUUUUCUUUGUUAUCCCCAUCUCUCUACGUGUUCCAUUUGGAUAGUUUCUGCCUAUAAAUUUAUUUAACUUGUCUUUUCGUUUGCAGCUAAACCUCUUUCAACAUAGGAAAUCGUUGUCUUACAUUGUAAUUUGGCAUGUGUUUUCAUCUAUAAGGUAGAGAUUGGCCAUUGACUAUUUUUACAAUUGUCUUUGGCUUUCAUGAAUUUUGUGGACAUUUGUAACGAAUUAUGUAACUAUCACGACAAACAAUUCAUUGUUGUAUGAAUUUUAUAUUCUCCUUAGU